This 497-nucleotide ribosomal RNA is filed under the name uncultured bacterium. Its description in RNAcentral is "partial 16S ribosomal RNA". It matches the Rfam family "Bacterial small subunit ribosomal RNA", at positions 28 to 507 of the family's 1533-position model. The record is from RNAcentral.
GAUGAACGCUGGCGGCGUGCCUAAUACAUGCAAGUCGAGCGAACAGACGAGGAGCUUGCUCCUCUGACGUUAGCGGCGGACGGGUGAGUAACACGUGGAUAACCUACCUAUAAGACUGGGAUAACUUCGGGAAACCGGAGCUAAUACCGGAUAAUAUAUUGAACCGCAUGGUUCAAUAGUGAAAGACGGUUUUGCUGUCACUUAUAGAUGGAUCCGCGCCGCAUUAGCUAGUUGGUAAGGUAACGGCCUACCAAGGCAACGAUACGUAGCCGACCUGAGAGGGUGAUCGGCCACACUGGAACUGAGACACGGUCCAGACUCCUACGGGAGGCAGCAGUAGGGAAUCUUCCGCAAUGGGCGAAAGCCUGACGGAGCAACGCCGCGUGAGUGAUGAAGGUCUUCGGAUCGUAAAACUCUGUUAUUAGGGAAGAACAAAUGUGUAAGUAACUAUGCACGUCUUGACGGUACCUAAUCAGAAAGCCACGGCUAACUACGUG